Molecule: ribosomal RNA, 253 nt
Filed under: uncultured prokaryote
Description: partial 16S ribosomal RNA
Rfam family: Bacterial small subunit ribosomal RNA
Source: RNAcentral
GACAGAGGGUGCAAACGUUGUUCGGAAUUACUGGGCGUAAAGCGUGUGUAGGCGGUCCACUAAGUCGAACGUGAAAUCCCCGGGCUCAACCCGGGAACUGCGUCCGAUACUGGAAGGCUUGAAUCCGGGAGAGGGAUGCGGAAUUCCAGGUGUAGCGGUGAAAUGCGUAGAUAUCUGGAGGAACACCGGUGGCGAAGGCAGCAUCCUGGACCGGCAUUGACGCUGAGGCGCGAAAGCCAGGGGAGCAAACGGG